CAGAGAAUCCAGACUGAGCACCAGGGAAGAGGAAAGGGAGGAGCCAGCCAGUAAGGGAAGCAGUGCAGGAGGAGGAGGACUAGUACCUGGGAUCACAACACUGGCACAGGGACCGGAGUAUAGACUCACCCGGCUGCUGCCACAGACACUGCAGCGAGUGCCCCGUCCAGCUCAUGCCAGCUUGGCAGCAGUGACUCCAGCACAAAGGGUCAAUGCCCGGCACUGCUCCCAGGUGCUGACGAGCUGAGGAGAGGAUGCUGAGCGGACUGUGUGUGUUCUCCGUGCUGUGCGCCCUGUGCCCCUGCUCCUCCAGCCGCUCCUUAGAGUGGUUCACCGCCCUGGUCCGCACAGAGUACACGGAGCCCCUGACUAACACCACGGUGCAGGGCACCACCGAGAGCGGCCGCUAUGGGGACAGCUCCCCCAAGGAGAGCGUCCAGGGUCUGGUGGGCUUCCCCCGGGAUCCGGCUCACCUGGAGGGCUGUCAGCCUGAUGUCCAGUACGUCGUGCCCGGCAUGAAUGCCAGGGCCAUGGAGGAGGGCGAGCCCUGGAUAGCGCUGGUUUCCCGAGGAGGCUGCACCUUCAAGGAUAAAGUGGUGAACGCUGCCCGCAGGAGGGCAUCAGCAGUGGUCAUCUUCAAUGAGGCCAAGAAUGGCAAUGGCACGGUUCCCAUGACACAUCUAGGAACUGGUAAUACUGUGGUAAUAAUGGUCGGUUACCCAAAAGGAAUGGACAUUAUGGAGCUUCUAAGAAGAAACAUAGCAGUAAAGAUGAUUAUCACUGUGGGCACCCGACAUGUUCAGGAGUUCAUCAGUGGUCAGUCAGUGGUGUUUGUGGCCAUUGCCUUCAUCACAAUGAUGAUUAUAUCCCUUGCCUGGUUAAUAUUCUACUACAUCCAACGUUUCAUAUAUACUGGAGCACAGUAUGGAAAUCAGGGUAACCGGAAAGAAACCAAAAAAGCCAUCAGUCAACUUCAGCUGCAUAGAGUAAAGAAAGGCGAGAAGGGUAUCGACAUUGAAGCAGAAAACUGUGCGGUAUGCAUAGAGAGCUACAAACCCAAAGAUGUUGUUCGCAUUCUUCCAUGCAAACAUAUCUUCCAUCGACUGUGUAUAGACCCAUGGUUACUGGAUCACAGGACGUGUCCCAUGUGUAAACUGGAUGUUAUUAAAGCUCUGGGAUUCUGGGUGGAGCCUGAAGAAACACAUGAAAUCCCUGUGCCUGAAUCCAUUGCCGGCAGCAGCCUUUCUGUUGGGACUCUAAGUUUUGCCCAAGAGGACAAUAGAAGUGAAAUAAACAACCUGCCUACUUCUUCAACAGGAGACACCUUACAACAAUGUAACAGUGCCAAGGAAGACGCAGGGGAGACCACUGCAUUGCUAGAUUAGCUGAUGUCACAAAGACUUAUAUUAAGUUCAAUAUGGAGAAGGAGACUCUUCCACUGUCCGUAGCAUAUGUGCACAGUGACAUUUUCUGAUCUUUGAGGUUCUAGUAAGUCGCCGGCAGUAAUGACAGAAAGUAUGAUCCUGGCAGUGAGGAUGCAUCCGGGGAACAAGCACAGAUUUCUGGAACUCCUACUGCUCUCUAACCUUUCUGAUGAAGGCCCUACAGACUGCUAGAAAUUUUACGGGUUUUAUAUAAGCCAUGAAGUGACAUUUGGUUUAGUCAGAAGAGUAUAAGAGGCUUAUAACUGCCGGAUACUUAUAAUAUUAUUCUAUUUAAUUUAACAUACAAGCCCUUUCUUCAAGCACAUACACAUGGCAUUUGUUACAUAUUUGUGUGAGGUCUGAUGAAGAGGGUAGAGGCAGGUACUGGUGAUACAAGGUUACAAUUGAUGUCCCUAUAUAAAAUAUAUGCAUUCCUGGAGGGGAAAGAGAACCUUUUAGCUAAAAGAAUGCCUAAACUUUAGCGGACUAGAUUAUAACUGAUGACGUACCUGCUUAUUCCCUCUUCCUGUAUACUUGGACUCCACGAAAAGAAACCUUAGAAACAAAGCACUUAUAAAAGGAGACUGCCUGGUACUUAACCAUUGUCUUGAUACCCAUGCACAAUAUACUCCUGCAAGUAUAACUGAUGGCUGAUUCUGGAAAUCUGUCUCAGGAAUAUCUGUAUAAAUAGCAGCGCUGAACAAAAUCUGUUGUACUAGGUCCACCUCAGGAAUAAGGAGAUCUACAGUGAUGAACAAGUUCUGUUCUGUUGGAUUCAGCUCAGGGAUCCAGGCACCUGCAACGUUGAAUACGUAAUGUUUUUGUUUUGGAUCCAGCUCAGGAAUUUGUGUGGUUGCGGUGAUGAACAGAUGCUGUGGUUGUGGCUGGAGAAUAAAAGCAUUACAAGAUUACACAAUUGGAGGAGGAUACGCUUUAAGACUCCGUUGAACUCAUUAAUUCGUUUGACCAAAGGCUGCUGAAUAUUUUUUUUUCUUUUUGUUUACAAAUAAAAUAAAAACAAAUGACAGAAUUACUACAUAAUGUACUGUGCGGAAUAUAAAGAGGAGGAAUUAAAGCCUUUUUAUUGGUUGUCAUAAAU
This is an RNA transcript of Hyla sarda, 2523 nucleotides long. It is a transcript of the gene named ring finger protein 149, with no coding region annotated. NCBI's taxonomy places the organism in Eukaryota, Metazoa, Chordata, Amphibia, Anura, Hylidae. The record is from RefSeq and is a predicted model, not a curated record. The transcript is spliced from 8 exons.